AUUGAACGCUGGCGGCAGGCCUAACACAUGCAAGUCGAACGGUAACAGGAAGAAGCUUGCUUCUUUGCUGACGAGUGGCGGACGGGUGAGUAAUGUCUGGGAAACUGCCUGAUGGAGGGGGAUAACUACUGGAAACGGUAGCUAAUACCGCAUAACGUCGCAAGACCAAAGAGGGGGACCUUCGGGCCUCUUGCCAUCGGAUGUGCCCAGAUGGGAUUAGCUAGUAGGUGGGGUAUCGGCUCACCUAGGCGACGAUCCCUAGCUGGUCUGAGAGGAUGACCAGCCACACUGGAACUGAGACACGGUCCAGACUCCUACGGGAGGCAGCAGUGGGGAAUAUUGCACAAUGGGCGCAAGCCUGAUGCAGCCAUGCCGCGUGUAUGAAGAAGGCCUUCGGGUUGUAAAGUACUUUCAGCGGGGAGGAAGGGAGUAAAGUUAAUACCUUUACUCAUUGACGUUACCCGCAGAAGAAGCACCGGCUAACUCCGUG
Molecule: ribosomal RNA, 490 nt
Filed under: uncultured bacterium
Lineage: Bacteria
Description: partial 16S ribosomal RNA
Rfam family: Bacterial small subunit ribosomal RNA
Source: RNAcentral